RNAcentral lists this ribosomal RNA (433 nucleotides) under uncultured bacterium. Its description in RNAcentral is "partial 16S ribosomal RNA". It matches the Rfam family "Bacterial small subunit ribosomal RNA", at positions 29 to 507 of the family's 1533-position model. The record is from RNAcentral.
AACGAACGCUGGCGGCAUGCCUAACACAUGCAAGUCGAACGAGACCUUCGGGUCUAGUGGCGCACGGGUGCGUAACGCGUGGGAACCUGCCCUUAGGUUCGGAAUAACUCCCCGAAAGGGGUGCUAAUACCGGAUAAUGUCUUCGGACCAAAGAUUUAUCGACUUUGGAUGGGCCCGCGUUGGAUUAGCUAGUUGGUAGGGUAAAAGCCUACCAAGGCGACGAUCCAUAGCUGGUCUGAGAGGAUGAUCAGCCACACUGGGACUGAGACACGGCCCAGACUCCUACGGGAGGCAGCAGUGGGGAAUAUUGGACCAUGGGCGAAAGCCUGAUCCAGCAAUGCCGCGUGAGUGAUGAAGGCCUUAGGGUUGUAAAGCGCUUUUAACCGGGAUGAUAAUGACAGUACCGGGAGAAUAAGCUCCGGCUAACUACGUG